UCUGGGGUACCUGAAGUCGGUGACCGUAACAGGAGCUGCCUAGGGUAAAACAGGUAACUAGGGCUAAGUCGUAACAAGGUAGCCGUACCGGAAGGUGCGGCUGGAACAUCUCAUUUUAGAGC
RNAcentral lists this ribosomal RNA (122 nucleotides) under Chryseobacterium arthrosphaerae. RNAcentral's name for it is "partial 16S ribosomal RNA". It matches the Rfam family "Bacterial small subunit ribosomal RNA", at positions 1411 to 1533 of the family's 1533-position model. Lineage: Bacteria; Pseudomonadati; Bacteroidota; Flavobacteriia; Flavobacteriales; Weeksellaceae. The record is from RNAcentral.